This 280-nucleotide ribosomal RNA is filed under the name Diversispora epigaea. It matches the Rfam family "Eukaryotic large subunit ribosomal RNA", at positions 430 to 694 of the family's 3401-position model. The record is from RNAcentral. Lineage: Eukaryota; Fungi; Glomeromycota; Glomeromycetes; Diversisporales; Diversisporaceae.
CAGUCGCGUUGGCCAGGAAUCAACCUUGCUUUUUCUGCUUGGUGUACUUUCUGGUUGAUGGGUCAGCAUCAAUUUUGAUCAGUGGAAAAAGAUCAAGGGAAUGUGGCAUCUUCGGAUGUGUUAUAGCCCUUGGUUGCAUACAUUGGUUGGGAUUGAGGAACUCAGCAUGCCUGCAAAGGCCGGUCUUUGACCACGUUCGUGCUUAGGAUGCUGGCAUAAUGGCUUUAAUCGUACCCGUCUUGAAACACGGACCAAGGAGUCUAACAUAUAUGCGAGUGUU